Long non-coding RNA from Scomber japonicus (chub mackerel), 623 nucleotides. RefSeq lists it as uncharacterized. The record is from RefSeq and is a predicted model, not a curated record. Lineage: Eukaryota; Metazoa; Chordata; Actinopteri; Scombriformes; Scombridae. The transcript is spliced from 3 exons.
UUCCGCAGCAAAAGUAUGAAGUGUAUGAGUGUAUGAAUUAUAUAAACAUCAUAGUUCUGUAAGAUGAUCAUACUUUUUGUCACAUCAUAAUGCUAUUAAGAUGAUUUACUCAUUGAUAUUGUUUUAAUAUAGAAAGAGGAAAUGGUGAAGGUGCUCCAUCACAGAAGGAAUCCCCAAGAGACGAGGAAACAACUUCAUUGACAGUAGAUAAAGGUUGAAAUCGGUCAGCCAUGAUGUUCACCUGGCAGCGAUGGCCAUGAUAUGGAAGCCUGUUCUCAGACACACUGGAUGCUAACCUGUCACCAAUCUAUCACAGGACAGCUCAAUCAAUCAAUCAAUCUUUAUUUAUACAGUGCUAAAUCACAACAAAAUUCAUCUCGAGGCACUUAACAUAUAGAGCAGGUAUAGACAAGACCCAACAGUCUUCCAUGAGCAGCACUUGGCAACAGUGGCAAGGAAAAACUCUCCUUAAAUGGGAAGAAACCUCAGGCAGAACCAGACUCAGAGUCAGGGUAACCCUAAAACUGCCUCAACCGGUUGGGGUUGAGAGGAGAGAAAGGAAGGACAGAGGAGAGAAGCACAAUGAAAAUCAACGAUGGAGCUAGAAGGUCCGGGACUGGAAU